RNAcentral lists this ribosomal RNA (500 nucleotides) under uncultured bacterium. RNAcentral describes it as "partial 16S ribosomal RNA". It matches the Rfam family "Bacterial small subunit ribosomal RNA", at positions 30 to 523 of the family's 1533-position model. The record is from RNAcentral.
AUUGAACGCUGGCGGAAUGCUUUACACAUGCAAGUCGAACGGCAGCACGGACUUCGGUCUGGUGGCGAGUGGCGAACGGGUGAGUAAUGUAUCGGAACGUGCCCAGUCGUGGGGGAUAACGUAGUGAAAAUUACGCUAAUACCGCAUACGAUCUAUGGAUGAAAGCGGGGGAUCGCAAGACCUCGCGCGAUUGGAGCGGCCGAUAUCAGAUUAGGUAGUUGGUGGGGUAAAGGCCCACCAAGCCAACGAUCUGUAGCUGGUCUGAGAGGACGACCAGCCACACUGGAACUGGGACACGGUCCAGACUCCGACGGGAGGCAGCAGUGGGGAAUUUUGGACAAUGGGCGAAAGCCUGAUCCAGCCAUUCCGCGUGCAGGAUGAAGGCCCUCGGGUUGUAAACUGCUUUUGUACAGAACGAAAAGGUUUCUACUAAUACUAGGAGCUCAUGACGGUACUGUAAGAAUAAGCACCGGCUAACUACGUGCCAGCCGCCGCGGUAA